CACGUAGUUAGCCGGGGCCUCUUGUCCAGGUACUGUCAUUUUCUUCCCUGCUGACAGGGCUUUACGCACCGGAGUGCUUCUUCACCCACGCGGCAUUGCUGCAUCAGGGUUCCCCCCAUUGUGCAAUAUUCCCCACUGCUGCCUCCCGCAGGAGUCUGGGCCGUGUCUCAGUCCCAAUGUGGCCGUCCACUCUCUCAAGCCGGCUACUGAUCGUUGUCUUGGUAGGCCGUUACCCUGCCAACUAACUAAUCAGACGCGGGCCCAUCCUGUACCACCGUGGUUUUCCCUGCUGUGCCAUGCGGCACAGCAGGCUUAUGCGGUAUUAGCAGCCAUUUCUGGCUGUUGUCCCCCGGUACAGGGCAGGUUGCCCACGCGUUACUCACCCGUCCGCCACUAGGUUUAUAUAUCUUCCCCUCCGGAGAGUUCCCGUCAUACUAAAACCCCGUUGACUUGCAUGUGUUAGGCAUGCCGCCAGCGUUCAUCCUGAGCCAGGAUCAAA
This 499-nucleotide ribosomal RNA is filed under the name uncultured Lachnospiraceae bacterium. Its description in RNAcentral is "partial 16S ribosomal RNA". The record is from RNAcentral. Lineage: Bacteria; Bacillati; Bacillota; Clostridia; Lachnospirales; Lachnospiraceae.